Molecule: ribozyme, 76 nt
Filed under: unclassified sequences
Description: HDV ribozyme from F. prausnitzii
Rfam family: HDV ribozyme from F. prausnitzii
Source: RNAcentral
GCUGCUCUAUAAAUAAUCACACACCUCUCCGUGGUGAGUAGCAGGCAACGAUCUUAUGACCGGCGAAGAUGUGAGA